This 449-nucleotide unclassified non-coding RNA is filed under the name uncultured Russula. RNAcentral describes it as "sequence contains ITS1, 5.8S rRNA gene and ITS2". The stretch from base 89 to 243 matches the Rfam family "5.8S ribosomal RNA". Lineage: Eukaryota; Fungi; Basidiomycota; Agaricomycetes; Russulales; Russulaceae. The record is from RNAcentral.
UUGUUCGGAGGGGGGCUUACGUUUUCACACAAACUUUGUAUGCAGUGUAGAAUGUAUUUUUUCGUUUUUGCGAUCACGCAAUCAAUACAACUUUCAACAACGGAUCUCUUGGCUCUCUCAUCUAUGAAGAACGCAUCGAAAUGCUAUACGUAAUGUGAAUUGCAUAAUUCACUGAAUCAUCUAAUCUUUGAACGCACCUUGCGCCCCUUGGCAUUCCGAGGGGCACACCCGCUUUGAGUGUCGUGAAAUUCUCAAAAACCUUUUUCUUUUUGGGAAAGGGUUUUUGGACUUGGAGGCUUUUUGCUGGCUUCACCUUGAAGUGAGCUCAUCCUAAAUGAAUCAGUGGGGUCCGCUUUGCCGAUCCUUGACGUCAUAAGAUGUUUCUACGUCUUUGGGUUUGGCACUGUCACCUGCUUCUAACUGUCUCAUUGACGAUGAUGGUGCUACGG